Molecule: ribosomal RNA, 252 nt
Filed under: uncultured bacterium
Lineage: Bacteria
Description: partial 16S ribosomal RNA
Rfam family: Bacterial small subunit ribosomal RNA
Source: RNAcentral
UACGUAGGUCCCGAGCGUUGUCCGGAUUUAUUGGGCGUAAAGCGAGCGCAGGUGGUUUAUUAAGUCUGGUGUAAAAGGCAGUGGCUCAACCAUUGUAUGCAUUGGAAAUUGGUAGACUUGAGUGCAGGAGAGGAGAGUGGAAUUCCAUGUGUAGCGGUGAAAUGCGUAGAUAUAUGGAGGAACACCGGUGGCGAAAGCGGCUCUCUGGCCUGUAACUGACACUGAGGCUCGAAAGUGUGGGGAGCAAACAGG